This 349-nucleotide ribosomal RNA is filed under the name Paenarthrobacter sp. RNAcentral describes it as "bacterial SSU rRNA". It matches the Rfam family "Bacterial small subunit ribosomal RNA", at positions 819 to 1167 of the family's 1533-position model. The record is from RNAcentral. Lineage: Bacteria; Bacillati; Actinomycetota; Actinomycetes; Micrococcales; Micrococcaceae.
UGUGGGGGGAACAUUCCACGUUUUCCGCGCCGUAGCUAACGCAUUAAGUGCCCCGCCUGGGGAGUACGGCCGCAAGGCUAAAACUCAAAGGAAUUGACGGGGGCCCGCACAAGCGGCGGAGCAUGCGGAUUAAUUCGAUGCAACGCGAAGAACCUUACCAAGGCUUGACAUGAACCGGAAAGACCUGGAAACAGGUGCCCCGCUUGCGGUCGGUUUACAGGUGGUGCAUGGUUGUCGUCAGCUCGUGUCGUGAGAUGUUGGGUUAAGUCCCGCAACGAGCGCAACCCUCGUUCUAUGUUGCCAGCGGUUCGGCCGGGGACUCAUAGGAGACUGCCGGGGUCAACUCGGA